CCUACGGGCGGCAGCAGUGAGGAAUAUUGGUCAAUGGACGCAAGUCUGAACCAGCCAUGCCGCGUGCAGGAAGACGGCUCUAUGAGUUGUAAACUGCUUUUGUACGAGGGUAAACGCAGAUACGCGUAUCUGUCUGAAAGUAUCGUACGAAUAAGGAUCGGCUAACUCCGUGCCAGCAGCCGCGGUAAUACGGAGGAUUCAAGCGUUAUCCAGAUUUAUUGGGUUUAAAGGGUGCGUAGGCGGUCGGAUAAGUUAGAGGUGAAAUCCCGAGGCUCAACUUCGGAAUUGCCUCUGAUACUGUUCGGCGAGAGAGUAGUUGCGGUAGGCGGAAUGUAUGGUGUAGCGGUGAAAUGCUUAGAGAUCAUACAGAACACCGAUUGCGAAGGCAGCUUACCAAGCUACUUCUGACGUUGAGGCACGAAAGCGUGGGGAGCAAACAGGAUUAGAGACCCUUGUAGUC
Molecule: ribosomal RNA, 460 nt
Filed under: uncultured bacterium
Lineage: Bacteria
Description: partial 16S ribosomal RNA
Rfam family: Bacterial small subunit ribosomal RNA
Source: RNAcentral